UGGAUGCAUGACUGUAAGUCACUUUGGAUUAAAGUGUCUGCAAAAUGGUAUUUA
Non-coding RNA from Salmo salar (Atlantic salmon), 54 nucleotides. The record is from Rfam. NCBI's taxonomy places the organism in Eukaryota, Metazoa, Chordata, Actinopteri, Salmoniformes, Salmonidae.